RNAcentral lists this long non-coding RNA (344 nucleotides) under Lathyrus oleraceus (garden pea). Its description in RNAcentral is "Pisum sativum (pea) long non-coding RNA (PSAT_LNC041438)". The record is from RNAcentral. Lineage: Eukaryota; Viridiplantae; Streptophyta; Magnoliopsida; Fabales; Fabaceae.
UGAAAUCUGGAAAUCUUAUUUGGAAGUUUGAGUGACCUAGAUGUUGAAACAUGGGGCACGCCUGGGGCACGCUUUUAUCCAACGAUCUCUUGUGCGGGUGUCGUUAGAUAUCUUCAUUCACUGGCAGGUUGUGAUAUGAAGCCUUUUGACAAAGGAUCCCCACAGAGUCCAACCAUGGGGCAAAGGAUAGACGAACAAUGAGAGGACGGUGAAGGAUUACGACGACGAUCCUGGAAAGUUAAUCAAGAAGACUCUUCAAAGUCUGAUGAUUGGAAAAUUUGUAUAAAUCCCAUGAGUUCGAUCUCCGUGGAGUACGGAUGAGUUGGGAAUACAAGAUGAUGGAG